UCAAAUCCCUCUCUUUCGUCCUAGAAUCUUUUGAGAAUGGGUUCUAAUUGGUUUUAUUUCGUGAUUUUUGGAGGUUUUAGGAUGAAAACAAACUCGGGUGCAGGAACACCCAUUUCCGGCGAGGAACCCGCCACUUUCGAGUUAAUCUCCGGCCAAACCACGGCGAGUUGGCCGGCGUGCAAGGUAUCAAUCUCUUCGUCUCGUCGAUUACUACAACUUUCCUUUUUGUUUCACCCAAUUUCGUUGAGUAUUGAAGAAGUUAUACUCAUUUGAAUCUUACCCAGUUUCCGGCGAGUCCGACGGCUUUCGAGGCGUUUUCCGGUCAAACCACGGCGAAUUAGACGUCGUGUGAGGUACCAUUCUCUUCGUCUCUUCGAGGGCUACAACUUUCGUUUUUGUCUCGCUUGAUUUCGUUGAGUUUUAACAAAGUUAUAGCCAUUUAAAAUUGGGUGGUUUUCCGGCCGAAAUUCCAGCCUUCUUCUUCCUCGGGUCCGGCGACCCAUCAAACUUGGGCCCUUUGGGCCGUUUCUGUUAAGGGCUUUAAGCCCAAACCCUAAACCUUUGGGCUUUAGGACCAAACCCAAGAACCCAAACCCUAUGACCCAAACCCGGAUCCAAGCCCAGACCCGUUUGACCUGGUCCGACCCGGAUCCUGACCCGUUGACUUUGACCGGUCAACGUUGACUUUUCUAGUUGACUUUUCGGGUUUUCGUCCAAGACCUUCCUAGGCUAAUUUCGACGUCCUGGAUCCGUUUUUGAAGUUCGUUUUCCCAAAUUCAAUCGUUUGAGUAGAGUUUGACUAAAUGGAUCAUUUAUGUGCUUAGGUGAAUUUAAUGACGGCGGUUCCGUUAUUCCUAUUUGGUAUGGCGUUGCACCAACGGUGUACGGUGAGUGGACCCCUUCUAAAAUGCAUGUUUUAUAGUAGAAAUGCAUACAUAAAAAGUAUGAUUUGAUGAUUACCUUUUAUGAAACGUUUUGUGAGAUAACAUGCUUAUUGAGGCUACUUUAAAUUAUUACUAUUUUUCCUAUAACCCGUGUUCUUAUAGAAUAUCUGAUGGAUGACGAUAUGAUAUUAGAACAUGUUUAGAACACCUCUUUAUAGUAUAGAUGAUGGAUGACUUUAUACUAUGAAGUUGUUUUUCAAUAUAUAUGUUCAAUGGUUUUGUACUUACCUAGUGGUCAUUUCCGCUACGGGACGUAGGGAUAGAUUCCGGUCAUUCCCGGGCGACGGUUUGGUGUUGGCAUAGGGCCUGGAGUGUGUUUCCUCUGGCUAUUUAGCACAGGGACGGGGAGCCGGCAUGGGGCCUGAAGUGUAUUUUCCUCUGACUGUCUGCUCAGAGACGGGGAGCCGGCAUGGGGCCUGGGGGUUAUCGGACAAUUCACUAGUGAUUAUUAUAUAUAUAAAAGUUAUGAUUUGAGACACUGCACAUCAUGCUAGGUUUCGGAAAACCUAUGUUUAUCAUUAUAUAUGUGUUUUCAUAAAACUUGGGGGUUAGUACGUUGAUAACUGUUUUGUUAUAUUUAUAUCAAAUUGGUCCACUCAUGUUUGUUUUGCGCCCCCUUCAGGAUUUAGGAUCGAGGCGUACAAUCCCGGCAAUCCAGGCACUUCCGCAUCGGUAUCUUCAAGUCCUCUCGGUGUAGAACCCACUUCUGUGUUCAUUCAAUUUUUAUAUUAAUUCUUUUAAUGUUCUAGAUUAGAUGUGUGCUCUGAACACGUUCCUUAAAUGCAUAUUCUUU
This 1737-nucleotide long non-coding RNA is filed under the name Malus domestica (apple). RNAcentral describes it as "long non-coding RNA (MDOM_LNC007121)". The record is from RNAcentral. Lineage: Eukaryota; Viridiplantae; Streptophyta; Magnoliopsida; Rosales; Rosaceae.